AUACUUACUUGGCAGGGAGGUUAUAAUGAUCACGAAGGUGGUUUUUCCAGGGCAAUGCUUGUCCAUUGCACUCUGGACAUACUGACUCCUGCGAUUUCCCCAAAUGUGGGAAAGUCAACUGCAUAAUUUGUGGUAGUGGUGGACUAUGUUUGCGCUUUCCCCUG
Molecule: small nuclear RNA, 164 nt
Organism: Cebus imitator (Panamanian white-faced capuchin)
Lineage: Eukaryota; Metazoa; Chordata; Mammalia; Primates; Cebidae
Gene: U1
Rfam family: U1 spliceosomal RNA
About the family: U1 is a small nuclear RNA (snRNA) component of the spliceosome (involved in pre-mRNA splicing). Its 5' end forms complementary base pairs with the 5' splice junction, thus defining the 5' donor site of an intron. There are significant differences in sequence and secondary structure between metazoan and yeast U1 snRNAs, the latter being much longer (568 nucleotides as compared to 164 nucleotides in human).
Source: Ensembl